RNAcentral lists this non-coding RNA (762 nucleotides) under Lissodema cursor. The record is from RNAcentral. Lineage: Eukaryota; Metazoa; Arthropoda; Insecta; Coleoptera; Salpingidae.
UAAAAUUUAGUUAAAGAUUUUGUUUUUUAAUUGAUUUAUAUAUAAAUUUAAGUAUUAUUAAUAUUUAAAUAAUUUUAAUAAUAUUUGUAGUAUUUAAUUUUAAAAAUUAAAGAAAUUUAGAUUUAGUAAUUUAAUUAAGUUUAAAUUAAAUUUGUGCCAGCAAUUGCGGUUAUACAAAUUAUACAAAUAAAAUUUAUUUAAUAUAAUUAAAUGAAAAAAAUUAAUUUAUUAUUAUUAUUUUUUGGUGAAAUAUUAAGUCUAAUAUAAUUUAUUUUUAAAAAUUUGAAGUUAGGAAUUUUAGAAUUUAAACUAGGAUUAGAUACCCUAUUAUUAUAAAUGUAAUUAGUUUUUAAAAUUAUUAUGAGUUAAGAUCUUUAAAAUUAAAAAUUAUGGCGGUAUUUUAAUCUAUUUAGAGGAACUUGUUUUUUAAUUGAUAAUCCACGAUAAGAUUUACUUUUUUUAAUAAAAAUUUAUAUAUCGUUGUAGUUUGAAUAUUUUUUUAAAAUUUUAAAUAUUCAAUUUUUUAAAUAAAAAUAGAAUUCAGAUCAAGGUAUAGUUUAUAGAAAAGAUAAAAUGAGUUACAAUAAUUAUAUUUUUUGGAUUUAAUGUUUUAAAUAUUAAUGAAAUUGGAUUUAAAAGUAAUAUUAUUGAUUUAAAUAAUAUGAUUGAGUUUUAAAAUAUGUACAUAUUGCCCGUCGCUUUCAUUUAAAAUGAAAUAAGUCGUAACAAAGUAGAUUUAUUGGAAAAUAAAUCUAGAAAAUU